CAGCAGUCGGGGGAAUAGUUGCACAAUGGGCGCAAGCCUGAUGCAGCCAUGCCGCGUGUGUGAGAAGGCCUUCGGGUUGUAAAGCACUUUCAGCAGUGAGGAAGGCGGAGUCGUUAAUAGCGGCCUCGUUUGACGUUUAGCUGCAGAAGAAGCACCGGCUAACUCCGUGCCAGCAGCCGCGGUAAUACGGAGGGUGCGAGCGUUAAUCGGAAUUACUGGGCGUAAAGCGCAUGCAGGUGGUUUGUUAAGUCAGAUGUGAAAGCCCAGGGCGUCAACCUCGGAAUUGCAUUUGUAAACUAGGCAGACUAGAGUACUGUAGAGGGGGGUAGGAAUUUCAGGUGUAGCGGUGAAAUAGCGUAGAGAUCUGAAGGAAUACCGGUGGCGAAGGCGGCCCCCUCGGACAGAUACUGACACUCAGAUGCGAAAGCGUGGGGAGCAAACAGGAUUAGAUACCCCUGGUAG
This 462-nucleotide ribosomal RNA is filed under the name uncultured bacterium. Its description in RNAcentral is "bacterial SSU rRNA". It matches the Rfam family "Bacterial small subunit ribosomal RNA", at positions 346 to 793 of the family's 1533-position model. The record is from RNAcentral.